UACGGAGGAUCCGAGCGUUAUCCGGAUUUAUUGGGUUUAAAGGGUGCGUAGGCGGAUAUGUAAGUCAGCGGUGAAACUCACAGGCUCAACCUGUGCCGUGCCGUUGAAACUGUGUAUCUGGAAUGCGGAUGCUGUGGGAGGAAUGUGUGGUGUAGCGGUGAAAUGCAUAGAUAUUACACAGAACACCGAUUGCGAAGGCAUCUCACAAAGCCGUUAUUGACGCUGAGGCACGAAAGUGUGGGGAUCAGA
This 249-nucleotide ribosomal RNA is filed under the name uncultured prokaryote. Its description in RNAcentral is "partial 16S ribosomal RNA". It matches the Rfam family "Bacterial small subunit ribosomal RNA", at positions 524 to 772 of the family's 1533-position model. The record is from RNAcentral.